Molecule: ribosomal RNA, 254 nt
Filed under: uncultured bacterium
Lineage: Bacteria
Description: partial 16S ribosomal RNA
Rfam family: Bacterial small subunit ribosomal RNA
Source: RNAcentral
CACGUAGGGGGCAAGCGUUGUCCGGAUUUAUUGGGCGUAAAGAGCUCGUAGGCGGUUCGGUAAGUCGGGUGUGAAACCUCCAGGCUCAACCUGGAGACGCCACCCGAUACUGCUGUGACUAGAGUCCGGUAGGGGAGCGUGGAAUUCCUGGUGUAGCGGUGAAAUGCGCAGAUAUCAGGAGGAACACCGGUGGCGAAGGCGGGUCUCUGGGCCGUAACUGACGCUGAGGAGCGAAAGCAUGGGGAGCGAACAGG